This 253-nucleotide ribosomal RNA is filed under the name uncultured bacterium. RNAcentral describes it as "partial 16S ribosomal RNA". It matches the Rfam family "Bacterial small subunit ribosomal RNA", at positions 524 to 776 of the family's 1533-position model. The record is from RNAcentral.
CACGGGGGGAGCAAGCGUUGUUCGGAAUCACUGGGCGUAAAAGGCGUGUAGGCGGUCAGGUUAGUGAGAUGUGAAAUGCCCCGGCUCACCCGGGGACCUGCAUCUCAAACUGCCUGGCUUGAGUAUGGGAGAGGAUGAGGGAAUUCCUGGUGUAGCGGUGAAAUGCGUAGAUAUCAGGAGGAACACCGGUGGCGAAAGCGCUCAUCUGGCCCAAUACUGACGCUGAGGCGCGAAAGCUAGGGGAGCAAACGGG